This 22-nucleotide microRNA is filed under the name Monodelphis domestica (gray short-tailed opossum). RNAcentral's name for it is "mdo-miR-7296-3p". Lineage: Eukaryota; Metazoa; Chordata; Mammalia; Didelphimorphia; Didelphidae. The record is from miRBase by way of RNAcentral.
UAAGAUGACACUAAGACUUUGG